Molecule: ribosomal RNA, 468 nt
Filed under: uncultured bacterium
Lineage: Bacteria
Description: partial 16S ribosomal RNA
Rfam family: Bacterial small subunit ribosomal RNA
Source: RNAcentral
GACGAACGCUGGCGGCGUGCUUAACACAUGCAAGUCGAACGGAAAGGCCCUGCUUUUGUGGUGUUCUCGAGUGGCGAACGGGUGAGUAACACGUGAGUAACCUGCCCUUGACUUUGGGGUAACUUCAGGAAACUGGGGCUAAUACCGGAUAGGAUCUCCUGCUGCAUGGUGGGGGUUGGAAAGUUUCGGCGGUUGGGGAUGGACUGGCGGCUUAUGAGCUUGUUGGUGGGGGAGUGGCUUACCAAGGGUUGGAAGGGUCGGCGGCCUGAGAGGGGGAACGGGCACAUGGGGACUGAGAGAGGGCGCAGACGCCUACGGGAGGCAGCAGUGGGGAAUCUUGCACAAUGGGAGGAAGCCUGAUGCAGCAACGCCGCGUGCGGGAUGACGGCCUUUGGGGUGUAAACCGCUUUCGCCUGUGACGAAGCGUGAGUGACGGUAAUGGGUAAAGAAGCACCGGCUAACUACGUG